AGUGAACGCUGGCGGUAGGCCUAACACAUGCAAGUCGAACGGCAGCACAGUAAGAGCUUGCUCUUACGGGUGGCGAGUGGCGGACGGGUGAGGAAUACAUCGGAAUCUACUUUUUCGUGGGGGAUAACGUAGGGAAACUUACGCUAAUACCGCAUACGACCUACGGGUGAAAGCAGGGGAUCUUCGGACCUUGCGCGAUUGAAUGAGCCGAUGUCGGAUUAGCUAGUUGGCGGGGUAAAGGCCCACCAAGGCGACGAUCCGUAGCUGGUCUGAGAGGAUGAUCAGCCACACUGGAACUGAGACACGGUCCAGACGCCUACGGGAGGCAGCAGUGGGGAAUAUUGGACAAAGGGCGCAAGCCUGAUACAGCCAUACCGCGUGGGUGAAGAAGGCCUUCGGGUUGUAAAGCCCUUUUGUUGGGAAAGAAAAGCAGCAGGUUAAUACCCCGCUGUUCUGACGGUACCCAAAGAAUAAGCACCGGCUAACUUCGUG
This 492-nucleotide ribosomal RNA is filed under the name uncultured bacterium. RNAcentral describes it as "partial 16S ribosomal RNA". It matches the Rfam family "Bacterial small subunit ribosomal RNA", at positions 29 to 507 of the family's 1533-position model. The record is from RNAcentral.